Molecule: small nuclear RNA, 102 nt
Organism: Gorilla gorilla gorilla (western lowland gorilla)
Lineage: Eukaryota; Metazoa; Chordata; Mammalia; Primates; Hominidae
Source: Ensembl
AUGCUUGCUCCAGUAACACACAUACUUAAGUUGGAACAAUAGAGAUUGGCAUGGCCUCUCUGAAAGAAUGACAUGCAAAUUUGUGAAGCAUUCCAUAUUUUU